Molecule: non-coding RNA, 74 nt
Organism: Phrynosoma platyrhinos (Desert horned lizard)
Lineage: Eukaryota; Metazoa; Chordata; Lepidosauria; Squamata; Phrynosomatidae
Source: the annotation of a GenBank genome assembly
GCCAGCCUGGCUUAGUGGUUUGAGCGUGUUGGACUAUGACUCUGGAGACCAGGGUUCAAAUCCUGGCUCAGCCA